GAUGGUUCCCGGGGGAGCCUCUGAUCCGAGGCUGAGAGGGUAGCAGGAGCUACCGACCCUUUGAACCUGAUCUGGGUAAUGCCAGCGUAGGGAAGGGAUAAAAAAUUUAA
RNAcentral lists this non-coding RNA (110 nucleotides) under Dictyoglomus turgidum. RNAcentral's name for it is "TPP sequence". It matches the Rfam family "TPP riboswitch aptamer (THI element)". From Rfam's summary of the family: Vitamin B(1) in its active form thiamin pyrophosphate (TPP) is an essential coenzyme that is synthesised by coupling of pyrimidine and thiazole moieties in bacteria. The previously detected thiamin-regulatory element, thi box was extended, resulting in a new, highly conserved RNA secondary structure, the THI element, which is widely distributed in eubacteria and also occurs in some archaea. RNAcentral also lists the same sequence under 1 other name. The record is from RNAcentral. Lineage: Bacteria; Pseudomonadati; Dictyoglomota; Dictyoglomia; Dictyoglomales; Dictyoglomaceae.